UGGGGGAGGUCCUCCCAUACACACACCCUCACUCCCAUCCAUACACUCACCCUCUCACACACCCAACCUCCCACCUUUAAUGUGUGUGGAUGGGACUAAGGUUUUCUCAUUUCUUUCAGAUUGUGCGCCUCCGAGGUGAACGUGUGGCUGGUCGAGAACUCCUCCAAACAGGUAAAGUACUUAUGACAAUAUAUAAUGUCUAUAUGCAAGUAUUUAUGAAUGUUAUGUUUUAAAGUUUUUUGUAUUCCAGGUUUGUUUGUGUGGCUGACUGGACCUACUACAAGGUGCUUCUUGGAGGUAAUAAAGAUACAUCAGUGAUGGUGAGGCCGUCACAUUACCAGCGGUUGUGGAUUUCUCAAUUCAACCUUUAUAUUGCAGACUCCACAUAAGGUAAAACACUUCCAUUCAGCAAUUGGUGUGCAGUGUCCAGAUUGUCAACAUUUAAUCUCAUGGUGUUGUCCCGACCUCCGUAAAGUGUCAUUAAUGCAAGAACGAAUGUAAGUGUCGUCAAGACCAACACAUGUGGUAACUCCAACGAGAACCAGGCCAAUAAGGUAAGAAAUAAGGGAUUCCAACAUAUGGCGAGUCGGUUAGAUUAGGUCCGGUUUAUGUUUUUAUAGUGUUUGUUUUGUUUUUUUGCAUUUUUCAUUCGCCGAGCCAAUAUUUUUUUCGGGAAACACCUCACCAAAAAAAUCUAUAAAAAACGACCAAUUUCCGACGGAAAUGGAGGUCAUAACCGAUCUAAACACAAAUACGCUAAUAUUUUGUUUUACUUUCUAAUUGUUGUGUGCACAUACAAAUGGACCUUUUUACACCAGGGGACAACCAAGGAACCUCCAGGUUACGUUACGUUGU
This 855-nucleotide long non-coding RNA is filed under the name Homarus americanus (American lobster). Its description in RNAcentral is "uncharacterized LOC121875187, transcript variant X2". The record is from RNAcentral. Lineage: Eukaryota; Metazoa; Arthropoda; Malacostraca; Decapoda; Nephropidae.